This is a microRNA precursor of Caenorhabditis elegans, 94 nucleotides long. Lineage: Eukaryota; Metazoa; Nematoda; Chromadorea; Rhabditida; Rhabditidae. The record is from Ensembl.
ACCUCGUUUUGGGAGCAGCCGGCAUUUUACGGGCUACACUUUUUUUAAAAUUGAUGUGUGCCCGUACUGUGUCGGCUGCUUUGAAAAUUUCGGU